CAGUAGCCGCGGUAAAACGGAGGGUGCAAGCGUUAAUCGGAAUUACUGGGCGUAAAGCGCACGCAGGCGGUCUGACAAGUCAGAUGUGAAAUCCCCGGGCUUAACCUGGGAACUGCAUUUGAAACUGUCAGGCUGGAGUCUUGUAGAGGGGGGUGGAAUUCCAGGUGUAGCGGUGAAAUGCGUAGAGAUCUGGAGGAAUACCGGUGGCGAAGGCGGCCCCCUGGACAAAGACUGACGCUCAGGUGCGAAAGCGUGGGGAGCAAACAGGAUUAGAUACCCCCGUAGUCCCUGUUUCUUAUAC
RNAcentral lists this ribosomal RNA (301 nucleotides) under uncultured bacterium. Its description in RNAcentral is "partial 16S ribosomal RNA". It matches the Rfam family "Bacterial small subunit ribosomal RNA", at positions 509 to 807 of the family's 1533-position model. The record is from RNAcentral.